AUGUCUCAAAUCAGAAUAGUAAAUACAAAACACAAGACUCCCAAGAAUCUCCCCUCCCGCCCAGAUAUUAUUGAUCAGAGGAUGAUUGCGGUAUUCCUUCCAUCUCUGAAAAGAUACACAUCGCUGCAUAUGCCAAUACUCCCCCUCAAGUUGGUAUGUAAGCAUCUUGCAUACCUAACUUGUCAAUUAUGCUGGUGAACGUUUUGCUCAUGACAGCCUUCGUUAAUAUGUCUGCGAGUUGCUCCCCUGAUCUCACAUGCACCAUCUGAAUGACAUUUGAUUCCAGUUUCUCCUUUAUAAAAUGUCGAUCUAUCUCCACAUGUUUAGUUCUGUCAUGCUGUACCGGGUUGUGAGAGAUAUCAAUCGCAGGUCGACUGUCACAAUAUAAGUCCAUUGCCUGAGUAGGUGCGAAUCCCAAUUCUCCGAGUAACCUCCUCAACCACAAUAAUUCACAUAUUCCCUUCGCAACUCCUCUGAAUUCAGCUUCUGCACUAGAGAGUGCUACAACACUUUGUUUCUUACUUCUCCAAGUUACUAGAUUACCUCCGACAAAGGUAAAGUAACCUGCUGUGGACCUUCUAUCACUUACACUCCCUGCCCAAUCAGCAUCAGUGAAACCUGAAACAUCAAGGUGUCCAUUCUUCUUGAAAGUUAUACCCUUGCCUGGGCAUCCCUUCAGAUAUCGUAUUAUUCGCAUGACUGCGUCCAUGUGGUCUUCACUUGGGUUGUGCAUAAACUGACUUACCACACUAACCCCAUAGGCUAUAUCCGGCCUUGUAUGUGCUAGAUAGAUCAACUUUCCUACCAACCUUUGGUACCUCUCUUUGUUAGCUGGUACUUGGUCUGGAAAUUCUCCUAAUUUAACCCCUUGAACUACAGGUGUAUCAGCUGGUCUACAGUCCAGCAUUCCAAUCUCUGCGAGUAGAUCCAAAAUGUAUUUUCUUUGAGAUAAUACAAUACCUUGUCUUGAUCGCAUUACCUCAAUUCCAAGAAAAUACUUCAAUCCUCCCAAAUUCUUCAUCUCGAAUUCACCUGAGAGUUUCUUUUCCAGAGUUGCAAUUUCUUGUGUGUCAUUUCCCGUCACUAUCAUGUCAUCGACAUAAAUGAUUAAGGCUGUCAACUUCUCCUGGUUUCUUUUCAGGAACAAUGUGUGGUCAGAGUCACAUUGUUUGAAUCCGUAGCUUUGCAUUGCUCUACAAAAUCUGCCGAACCAGGCACGUGGGGAUUGCUUCAAUCCGUACAGCGCUUUGUUCAAUUUACACACCAUCGGCUUGGCAUUUGUACUUUUGUAUCCUGGGGGUUGCUCCAUGUACACUUCUUCUUUCAGCUCUCCAUGUAAAAAAGCAUUCUUCACAUCAAAUUGGUGCAAAGGCCAGUCUAAAUUAGCUGCAAGAGACAACAAAACUCGAAUGGUAUUUAGUUUAGCUACGGGUGAGAAAGUUUCUUGAAAAUCUAUACCCUGUGUUUGUGUAUACCCUUUCGCAACCAGUCUCGCUUUGUAUCUGUCAAUCUCCCCAUUAGCAUUGUACUUAAUUGAAAACACCCAUCUGCACCCUACAGGUAUUUUCCCUUGUGGUAGUUCCACCAAAGUCCAAGUUUUGUUGUUAUAUAAUGCACUCAUUUCAGCUUCCAUAGCUUGUGACCAAUUCGGAUCAGAUUUUGCCUCAUCUACAUUUUCUGGUAUCUUACAGGACAAUAAGUUCUCAUUAAACCUUUUUACAGGUCCAGAUAAAGAUUUGGUAUCUACGAAAUUUGCAAUGGGGUAUUUGCUCUUUUUAUGCCUAUCUUCAUCUGGUUCAUACCGUUUAGGUGGUAUACCCCUAUUGCAUCUGACUGGUAACGUAUACUUAGAGGUAGGAAGACUUACCUGAAGCUGAUCCUCAGGAGACAUUGGGCCUUGUGGUUCUUCAUUGGGUUGUAUCACUUCUUCAUUUUCACUUUCCAUUCCAAAGACUGCUCUGUUUUUGUUUCUAGAGUACAUUUCUAGUGGUUUAUUUCCAUCCGUAGCCCCAUUACCAUCUCCAUCCGAUUCAUCAGUUCCAUUACCAUUUCCAUCUGAUUUAUCAGUACCAGAAACGCCAUCCUGGCCAUACUGUUCACAACCAGGGGUCCAUCCCUGAAAACUUAAUAAAUCCUUGUUCUUCCAUACAUCGGAUUCACUACUGUUCUCCCCCUGAUCCGAUUGUAUGGUGGGUUUAAAGAAUGCCUCAUGUUCCAUGAACGUAACAUCCAUCGUAACGUACCAUUUUCGAGAGUCUACAUCAAAGCACUUAUACCCUUUUUGAUUCUGCCCAAAACCGAGAAACACACACCGUACAGCAUAAGGUGAAAGUUUUGAGCGUUGUGUUUUUGGUACGUGGACAUAUGCAACACACCCGAAUAUUUUUGGUGUCAGACUAAGAACCGAUGGAAUGGAGUGAUGCUUUUCUAAUGUUUUUAGAGGAGUUUGGAAAUUAUUGAUCUUUGUGGGUAAUCGAUUUAAUACAUAUACUGCCAUAAGGAUUGAUUUAUCCCAGAAUUUUGUCGGAACAUGAUAUUCAAACAACAGUGCUCGUGACAUUUCCAAGAUGUGUCUAUUUUUCCGUUCGGCGACCCCAUUUUGUUGCGGUGUCCCUACACACGAGGUCUCAUGUACAAUUCCCAUUUGAACAAAGAAAUCUUUAAGUACUUUUCCAAUGAACUCCCCGCCGUUAUCACUCCGAAAAAAUUUAAUCCCUUUUCCAAACUGUGUUUUAAUCAUGGUAUAAAAAUUUUUAAAAACACUUGGCACUUCAUCUUUACUCUUUAACAGGUAAACCCAUGUCAUUCUUGUACAGUCAUCGAUAAAUAACACAAACCAUUUAUUUCCAUCUAUAGAGCUUACAGGAGCGGGUCCCCACACGUCUGAGUGAAUCAAAUCAAAAGGACUAUUACUUUUAUUUGAACUUGGUGCAUACGACACACGAUGACUCUUUGCUUUUAUGCAAGUAUCACAAUUAAACACAGUAAGAUUGUUAUUCUUGAAUAAAUGAGGCAGAAGUUUCUUCAUAUACCCAAGAGAAGGAUGACCCAAACGUCGGUGCCAUGUCCAAAUUUUAUUCUGCACUUCCGUUUGAUCAACCACUAAACUUGCUCUUCCAGCUUUAAGAUCUUCAAGAUGAUACAACCCAUCUCUUUCAAUACCACGCCCAAUGAUCUCCUUCGUGAGGAUGUCCUGGAUUAUAAAAUAGUCAGAAUACAUCUUUACCACACAAUUUCUGUCCUUUGUCAAUUUACUGACUGACAUUAGCCUCGUAGCCAGAGAUGGUACUACCAGUACAUUUGAUAAGUUUAACUGAGAGGUUACUUUAAUACUUCCUGCACAUUUCACUGGAUAGGAGAUUCCGUUAGCAUUUAAUAUCUCAGUUUUCUUUGUAACACACUCAGCAGUAAGAUCAGUUUUAGUGAAUGUCAUGUGAUCAGAUGCACCGGAAUCAACUAUCCAUGUACUGUUAUCAUUAGACAAGUUGGAGGAGAGAAAGAUUAUACCUUCACUUGGAGAAUCAUCACCAUUCUUACCCGAUACUGCAAUGGAGACCUUGCCUCUUUUUGCCUCAGCUUGCUUCUUUUUCAACUCCUUGUACCAAUCUGGGUACCCAUGGAUUUUAAAACAGGUGUCUUUACUAUGGCCUUUGCCGCCACAGUGGGUGCACUUGAGAACUGCUUCAGUUUUGUUGUAUCGUGUUGUAAAGUGUACAGCACCUUGAUUAGAACUGGAUUCCUUUCCCUGUACCUGCGAUGACAGAGACAGUGGAUCUCCUGGAACCGAGUUGUUACUGUUCCCAUGGGUUGAGUUAGUACUGAUGUGAGGAACACCAGCAACCUGUUUUGCACCUUGCACAAUCAUUGCCGCUGAGUUAGACAAAUCCGUGCUCUUGCCAACCAUAACAGAUUGACGCACAUCUUCACGACGCACAUGUCCAUACGUCUCUUCAACAGUUGGUAAUGGUGUCAUCCUAAGGAUCUCGGCCCGAAUGCCAUCGAAUCUGUCCUCAAGACCCCCAAGGAAAAUAUACACCUUUCUAUCUUGCUCUACUCUGUUAUAUUUCUCAAUAUCUAUGGGACAGGUCAUAGGGUUUGGUUUUCUAAACUCAAUCUCCUUCCAAAGUCCUUGUAGAGUAUAGAAAUAAUCUUCUAGUGUACCGGUUUGUUUUAACCCAUAAACCUUUACUUCAAGAUCAUAGAUCUGGGUGUUGUCAUUACCAUCAAAAAAUGUUAAUUUGAUGCUAUCCCAUACCUCCUUGGCAGUAGAAAACCGUAUGAAAUUCCCAAUCAAAUUAGGGUCAAGGGAGCUGAGAAUCCAACCUUUUACCAUGGAGUUGUCAGACAUCCAUCGCUUGUAGCCUGUGUCAUUAGACGCAGGUUGAGUUCGUUCGCCAUUGAUAUGGCCGAGUUUGUCCUUAGAUGCAAGGAGCACCUCCACCAUUUGCGACCAUACACCAUAGUUACGGCCGUUGAACACUAUCGUCAUUGGUGGUAGCCCUCCCUCAGGUCCUGUGGCUGGACCAAGCGGCGGUUGAAAGUUUCGAAACAUCGCCUUGGUUAAUUUCUCGGUGAGAUCUUCAAUGAACUUGGACGACACAGUAUUGCCAUCCACAAUGAGUUGCUGGUUAUUCGUCUCUUCUGCCAUGGUUAUCGUUUAGAGAGAGGAACGGAUAUGGUUCGAACUUGGCUCUGAUACCAUGUCUCAAAUCAGAAUAGUAAAUACAAAACACAAGACUCCCAAGAAUCUCCCCUCCCGCCCAGAUAUUAUUGAUCAGAGGUUAAAACCUAUUACAAUAUUCAGAUCAUUUCUUCUCAUGUUCUAUCACUUAUUUAUCAGCUAUGGUAGCUAUCUUAGGAAAAAAUAAAUUACAUCUGUCACACUAUAUUCUGUAUCCUAUACAUUGCUAAAUAUAGAAUAAAAUUGAAUAUGUGAUAUUCUCUUCCUUCUCUA
This is a long non-coding RNA of Cucumis melo (muskmelon), 4954 nucleotides long. RefSeq lists it as uncharacterized. The record is from RefSeq and is a predicted model, not a curated record. Lineage: Eukaryota; Viridiplantae; Streptophyta; Magnoliopsida; Cucurbitales; Cucurbitaceae. The transcript has 2 exons.